RNAcentral lists this ribosomal RNA (673 nucleotides) under uncultured fungus. RNAcentral's name for it is "eukaryotic LSU rRNA". The stretch from base 278 to 431 matches the Rfam family "5.8S ribosomal RNA". Lineage: Eukaryota; Fungi. The record is from RNAcentral.
AAGUCGUAACAAGGUUUCCGUAGGUGAACCUGCGGAAGGAUCAUUAAUGAAUUCACUAUGGAGUUGUUGCUGGCCUCUAGGGGCAUGUGCACGCUUCACUAGUCUUUCAACCACCUGUGAACUUUUGAUAGAUCUGUGAAGUCGUCUCUCAAGUCGUCAGACUUGGUUGCUGGGAUUUAAACGUCUCGGUGUGACUACGCAGUCUAUUUACUUACACACCCCAAAUGUAUGUCUACGAAUGUCAUUUAAUGGGCCUUGUGCCUAUAAACCAUAAUACAACUUUCAACAACGGAUCUCUUGGCUCUCGCAUCGAUGAAGAACGCAGCGAAAUGCGAUAAGUAAUGUGAAUUGCAGAAUUCAGUGAAUCAUCGAAUCUUUGAACGCACCUUGCGCCCCUUGGUAUUCCGAGGGGCAUGCCUGUUUGAGUGUCAUUAAAUUCUCAAACUCACUUUGGUUUCUUUCCAAUUGUGAUGUUUGGAUUGUUGGGGGCUGCUGGCCUUGACAGGUCGGCUCCUCUUAAAUGCAUUAGCAGGACUUCUCAUUGCCUCUGCGCAUGAUGUGAUAAUUAUCACUCAUCAAUAGCACGCAUGAAUAGAGUCCAGCUCUCUAAUCGUCCGCAAGGACAAUUUGACAAUUUGACCUCAAAUCAGGUAGGACUACCCGCUGAACUUAA